GAUGAACGCUAGCUACAGGCUUAACACAUGCAAGUCGAGGGGUAACAUUGGCUUGAGCUUUGCUCAGCCUAGAUGACGACCGGCGCACGGGUGAGUAACGCGUGGGUAACCUGCCCUAUACAGGGGGAUAACAGUUGGAAACGACUGCUAAUACCGCAUAAGCGCACAGUAUCGCAUGAUACGGUGUGAAAAGCUCCGACGGUAUAGGAUGGGCCCGCGUCUGAUUAGCUAGUUGGCAGGGUAAUGGCCUACCAAGGCGACGAUCAGUAGCCGACCUGAGAGGGUGACCGGCCACAUUGGGACUGAGACACGGCCCAAACUCC
This 323-nucleotide ribosomal RNA is filed under the name uncultured Lachnospiraceae bacterium. RNAcentral describes it as "bacterial SSU rRNA". It matches the Rfam family "Bacterial small subunit ribosomal RNA", at positions 28 to 339 of the family's 1533-position model. Lineage: Bacteria; Bacillati; Bacillota; Clostridia; Lachnospirales; Lachnospiraceae. The record is from RNAcentral.